GAUGAACGCUGGCGGCGUGCUUAACACAUGCAAGUCGAACGAAGCACUUAGGACAGAUUCUUCGGAUGAAGUCCUUAGUGACUGAGUGGCGGACGGGUGAGUAACGCGUGGGUAACCUGCCUCAUACAGGGGGAUAACAGUUAGAAAUGGCUGCUAAUACCGCAUAAGCGCACGGUACCGCAUGGUACAGUGUGAAAAACUCCGGUGGUAUGAGAUGGACCCGCGUUGGAUUAGCUAGUUGGCAGGGUAACGGCCCACCAAGGCGACGAUCCAUAGCCGGCCUGAGAGGGUGGACGGCCACAUUGGGACUGAGACACGGCCCAGACUCCUACGGGAGGCAGCAGUGGGGAAUAUUGCACAAUGGGGGAAACCCUGAUGCAGCGACGCCGCGUGAGUGAAGAAGUAUUUCGGUAUGUAAAGCUCUAUCAACAGGGAAGAAAAUGACGG
Molecule: ribosomal RNA, 447 nt
Filed under: uncultured bacterium
Lineage: Bacteria
Description: bacterial SSU rRNA
Rfam family: Bacterial small subunit ribosomal RNA
Source: RNAcentral